This 125-nucleotide ribosomal RNA is filed under the name Trichosporon sp. Its description in RNAcentral is "partial small subunit ribosomal RNA". It matches the Rfam family "Eukaryotic small subunit ribosomal RNA", at positions 1657 to 1779 of the family's 1831-position model. Lineage: Eukaryota; Fungi; Basidiomycota; Tremellomycetes; Trichosporonales; Trichosporonaceae. The record is from RNAcentral.
CCUUUGUACACACCGCCCGUCGCUACUACCGAUUGAAUGGCUUAGUGAGACUCUCGGAUUGGCGUUAAGAAGCCGGCAACGGCAUCUUUUGGCCGAGAAGUUAGUCAAACUUGGUCAUUUAGAGG